GUGGGGUAAUGGCCUACCAAGGCGACGACGGGUAGCCGGCCUGAGAGGGCGACCGGCCACACUGGGACUGAGACACGGCCCAGACUCCUACGGGAGGCAGCAGUGGGGAAUAUUGCACAAUGGGCGAAAGCCUGAUGCAGCGACGCCGCGUGAGGGAUGACGGCCUUCGGGUUGUAAACCUCUUUCAGCAGGGAAGAAGCGAAAGUGACGGUACCUGCAGAAGAAGCGCCGGCUAACUACGUGCCAGCAGCCGCGGUAAUACGUAGGGCGCAAGCGUUGUCCGGAAUUAUUGGGCGUAAAGAGCUCGUAGGCGGCUUGUCACGUCGGAUGUGAAAGCCCGGGGCUUAACCCCGGGUCUGCAUUCGAUACGGGCUAGCUAGAGUGUGGUAGGGGAGAUCGGAAUUCCUGGUGUAGCGGUGAAAUGCGCAGAUAUCAGGAGGAACACCGGUGGCGAAGGCGGAUCUCUGGGCCAUUACUGACGCUGAGGAGCGAAAGCGUGGGGAGUGAACAGGAUUAGAUACCCUGGUAGUCCACGCCGUAAACGUUGGGAACUAGGUGUUGGCGACAUUCCACGUCGUCGGUGCCGCAGCUAACGCAUUAAGUU
Molecule: ribosomal RNA, 604 nt
Filed under: Streptomyces flavofuscus
Lineage: Bacteria; Bacillati; Actinomycetota; Actinomycetes; Kitasatosporales; Streptomycetaceae
Description: bacterial SSU rRNA
Rfam family: Bacterial small subunit ribosomal RNA
Source: RNAcentral